Molecule: long non-coding RNA, 977 nt
Organism: Tribolium castaneum (red flour beetle)
Lineage: Eukaryota; Metazoa; Arthropoda; Insecta; Coleoptera; Tenebrionidae
Exons: 5
Source: RefSeq, a predicted model, not a curated record
CAUCCGUCUUUACUGCUGAAAAAAUCUUAACCAAGCUAUUUAUAAAGCUUGCAGUCGCGAGAUUUUGGACUCUGACGCGGUUUCCUCCGGAAAUCUCCAAAAAAAUUGCAUUCGAAUCAAAAAUCGUAACAGGGGCAUCUAUUAUUGCCCUCACAGUAAUGUUUUUAUUUUCGACAGUGAAUGUGCCGUUCUUUGGCGACAAGAAUGUCAUUUAUGGCAUUAUGCUUCUUCAGAAGAGUUUUGGCAGAACGGCAAAGUUAUUUUGUUUUCUCUACUACGGAACUUUACCAAUUUUGGCUUACGUUGCUUUUAUCAGUGGAGGAGUUCUCAUCUAUACUUUGAUGCACCUAAGGUUCUACAUUUUUGUGAUCAAUCAUUAUUUGGAGCGAAUUGUUCUCCAAUACGACCUCGUUAUAAGUGACAGUCACAAACUGAGAGAUGAGGAAUAUCAAAAGUCAAUUUACGACCAACUUAAAAUUUGUAUAGGUCGUCACCAGUCUUUUAAAAAGAUUGAAAAAAAACUAAAUGCCAAACUUCUUCCAUACUUAUUACUGUUAUUAUAUUUAGGAACUGCUGCGGUUCUUAGCAUGCUUUUCAAUAUUCUCGUCGACGCCAGCAAAUUUGGCUAUUUUGUGGCAAUUGGAGGAAUGGUGGUUUCAGUAAUUGUACCGUUGUUGUUGGUACAUGUGGGACAAUGUCUCAAAGACGAAUACGAGAAAAUGUUUGCCAACACCUUGAAAUUUCCAUGGAUUGUUUGGAACUCAAGGAAUCGGAAAAUUUUGUUUAUUUUUAUCUUGAAUCUUCAAAAAUCUUUAUGCAUAGGACAACCGGGGCUUGUUUUGUGCGAAUAUUCUUUUAUUCCAUCGGUGCUGAGUUUCGUUUGGACAUUUUCUACUUUUAUAGUACAAGUUGCGUCUAAAAGUAGGUAGACAAUCAAAUAAAGCCGUAAAGAAGAUAACGAGAAGAUAAUGAGAUAA